GAUGAACGCUGGCGGCGUGCCUAAUACAUGCAAGUCGAGCGAACAGAUAAGGAGCUUGCUCCUUUGACGUUAGCGGCGGACGGGUGAGUAACACGUGGGUAACCUACCUAUAAGACUGGGAUAACUUCGGGAAGCCGGAGCUAAUACCGGAUAAUAUUUCGAACCGCAUGGUUCGAUAGUGAAAGAUGGUUUUGCUAUCACUUAUAGAUGGACCCGCGCCGUAUUAGCUAGUUGGUAAGGUAACGGCUUACCAAGGCGACGAUACGUAGCCGACCUGAGAGGGUGAUCGGCCACACUGGAACUGAGACACGGUCCAGACUCCUACGGGAGGCAGCAGUAGGGAAUCUUCCGCAAUGGGCGAAAGCCUGACGGAGCAACGCCGCGUGAGUGAUGAAGGUCUUCGGAUCGUAAAACUCUGUUAUUAGGGAAGAACAUACGUGUAAGUAACUGUGCACGUCUUGACGGUACCUAAUCAGAAAGCCACGGCUAACUACGUG
Molecule: ribosomal RNA, 497 nt
Filed under: uncultured bacterium
Lineage: Bacteria
Description: partial 16S ribosomal RNA
Rfam family: Bacterial small subunit ribosomal RNA
Source: RNAcentral